AGUGAACGCUGGCGGUAGGCCUAACACAUGCAAGUCGAACGGCAGCACAGUAAGAGCUUGCUCUUACGGGUGGCGAGUGGCGGACGGGUGAGGAAUACAUCGGAAUCUACUUUUUCGUGGGGGAUAACGUAGGGAAACUUACGCUAAUACCGCAUACGACCUACGGGUGAAAGCAGGGGAUCUUCGGACCUUGCGCGAUUGAAUGAGCCGAUGUCGGAUUAGCUAGUUGGCGGGGUAAAGGCCCACCAAGGCGACGAUCCGUAGCUGGUCUGAGAGGAUGAUCAGCCACACUGGAACUGAGACACGGUCCAGACGCCUACGGGAGGCAGCAGUGGGGAAUAUUGGACAAUGGGAGCAAGCCUGAUCCAGCCAUACCGCGUGGGUGAAGAAGGCCUUCGGGUUGUAAAGCCCUUUUGUUGGGAAAGAAAAGCAGCAGGUUAAUACCCCGCUGUUCUGACGGUACCCAAAGAAUAAGCACCGGCUAACUUCGU
Molecule: ribosomal RNA, 491 nt
Filed under: uncultured bacterium
Lineage: Bacteria
Description: partial 16S ribosomal RNA
Rfam family: Bacterial small subunit ribosomal RNA
Source: RNAcentral